RNAcentral lists this ribosomal RNA (157 nucleotides) under Aspergillus terreus. RNAcentral describes it as "5.8S ribosomal RNA". It matches the Rfam family "5.8S ribosomal RNA". Rfam says of the family: 5.8S ribosomal RNA (5.8S rRNA) is a component of the large subunit of the eukaryotic ribosome. It is transcribed by RNA polymerase I as part of the 45S precursor that also contains 18S and 28S rRNA. Functionally, it is thought that 5.8S rRNA may be involved in ribosome translocation. Lineage: Eukaryota; Fungi; Ascomycota; Eurotiomycetes; Eurotiales; Aspergillaceae. The record is from RNAcentral.
AAACUUUCAACAAUGGAUCUCUUGGUUCCGGCAUCGAUGAAGAACGCAGCGAAAUGCGAUAACUAAUGUGAAUUGCAGAAUUCAGUGAAUCAUCGAGUCUUUGAACGCACAUUGCGCCCCCUGGUAUUCCGGGGGGCAUGCCUGUCCGAGCGUCGUU